AGAGUUUGAUCAUGGCUCAGGAUGAACGCUAGCAGCAGGCUUAACACAUGCAAGUCGAGGGGUAAGUCCCGAUUCGUCGGGAACACGACCGGCGCACGGGUGAGUAACGCGUAUGUAACUUUCCUCUAACUGGGGGAUAGCCCGGAGAAAUCCGGAUUAAUACCCCAUAAUAUCAUAGGAUCGCAUGGUCUUAUGAUUAAAGCUCCGGCGGUUAGAGAUAGGCAUGCGUACCAUUAGCUUGUUGGUGAGGUAAUUGCUCACCAAGGCAACGAUGGUUAGGGGGUCUGAGAGGAUGAUCCCCCACACUGGUACUGAGACACGGACCAGACUCCUACGGGAGGCAGCAGUGAGGAAUAUUGGGCAAUGGACGAAAGUCUGACCCAGCCAUGCCGCGUGCAGGAUGACGGCCCUACGGGUUGUAAACUGCUUUUGUACAGGAAGAAACACUUCGACGUGUCGAGGCUUGACUGUACUGUACGAAUAAGCAUCGGCUAACUCCGUGCCAGCAGCCGCGGUAAUACGGAGGAUGCAAGCGUUAUCCGGAUUUAUUGGGUUUAAAGGGUGCGUAGGCGGGAUAGUAAGUCAGUGGUGAAAUCUUCCGGCUUAACCGGGAAACUGCCAUUGAUACUGCUUUCCUUGAGUGCAGUUGAGGUGGGCGGAAUGUGUAAUGUAGCGGUGAAAUGCUUAGAUAUUACACAGAACACCUAUUGCGUAGGCAGCUCACUAAUCUGUAACUGACGCUGAGGCACGAAAGCGUGGGGAGCGAACAGGAUUAGAUACCCUGGUAGUCCACGCCGUAAACUAUGAUCACUCGCUGUUGGCGAUAUACUGUCAGCGGCUGAGCAAAAGCAUUAAGUGAUCCACCUGGGGAGUACGACCGCAAGGUUGAAACUCAAAGGAAUUGACGGGGGCCCGCACAAGCGGUGGAACAUGUGGUUUAAUUCGAUGAUACGCGAGGAACCUUACCUGGGCUUAAAUGCGGAGCGACCUUCGCUGAAAAGUGAAUUUCCUUCGGGACGAUCUGCAAGGUGCUGCAUGGUUGUCGUCAGCUCGUGCCGUGAGGUGUCGGGUUAAGUCCCAUAACGGGCGCAACCCUCAUCGUUAGUUGCCAUCGGAUAUUGCCGGGGACUCUAACGAAACUGCCGGUGUAAACCGUGAGGAAGGUGGGGAUGACGUCAAAUCAGCACGGCCCUUAUGUCCAGGGCUACACACGUGUUACAAUGGCCAGUACAAAGGGCAGCUACCUGGUGACAGGAUGCAAAUCUCUAAAGCUGGUCACAGUUCGGAUUGAAGUCUGCAACUUGACUUCAUGAAGCUGGAAUCGCUAGUAAUCGCGCAUCAGCCACGGCGCGGUGAAUACGUUCCCGGGCCUUGUACACACCGCCCGUCAAGCCAUGGAAGCCGGGGGUACCUGAAGUCUGUAACCUAAAAGAGCGGCCUAAGGUAAACCCAGUGACUGGGGCUAAGUCGUAACAAGGUA
Molecule: ribosomal RNA, 1480 nt
Filed under: metagenome
Description: bacterial SSU rRNA
Rfam family: Bacterial small subunit ribosomal RNA
Source: RNAcentral